This 184-nucleotide unclassified non-coding RNA is filed under the name uncultured fungus. RNAcentral's name for it is "partial contains 18S rRNA, ITS1, 5.8S rRNA, ITS2 and 28S rRNA". The record is from RNAcentral. Lineage: Eukaryota; Fungi.
AAGGAUCAUUAAAGGGAAUUUGGGGUUCGUCCCCGUCCUCCCAUCCGUGGAAACGCGAGGCCCCUUGCUACGUUACUUCGGCGGGGUUUUCCCGCCGAGCAGCAAGCACAAAACUCUGUUUUAACGUGUCGUUGAUGACAACGCAAAUAAAUCAAAACUUUCAACAACGGAUCUCUUGGUUCUG